AUUAGUAGCGAGAUGUAGGUGAGAAUCCUACAGGCCGAAUACCUAAGGUUUCCUCAGGAAGGUUCGUCCUCUGAGGGUUAGUCGGGACCUAAGCCGAGGCCGAAAGGCGUAGGUGAUGGACAAUCGGUUGAUAUUCCGAUACCACUAUAAUCGUUAUUAUCGAUGGCGUGACGGAGAAGGAUAGAGUGUGCUAGCUAUUGGAUGCUAGUCUAAGCGUUUAGGGAGUCAGGAUAGGCAAAUCCGUCCUGAUAAUUCUGAGGCGUGAUGGGGAAGGUUCUAAGGAACCGAAGUACUUGAUUCCAUGCUUCCAAGAAAAGCGUCUAGAAAGAGAAGUAGUGCCCGUACCGUAAACCGACACAGGUAGGUGAGGAGAGAAUCCUAAGGCCGGCGGAAGAAUCACAGUUAAGGAACUAGGCAAAUUGACCCCGUAACUUCGGGAUAAGGGGUGCCUGCGCGAGCAGGUCGCAGAGAAUAGGCCCAAGCAACUGUUUAGCAAAAACACAGGUCUCUGCUAAAGCGAAAGCUGAUGUAUAGGGGCUGACGCCUGCCCGGUGCUGGAAGGUUAAGGGGAACACUUAGCGCAAGCGAAGGUGUGAACUUAAGCCCCAGUAAACGGCGGCCGUAACUAUAACGGUCCUAAGGUAGCGAAAUUCCUUGUCAGGUAAGUUCUGACCCGCACGAAUGGCGUAAUGAUUUGGGCACUGUCUCAACUGUGAAUCCGGCGAAGUUGUAGUGCGAGUGAAGAUGCUCGCUACCCGCGAUUGGACGGAAAGACCCCGUAGAGCUUUACUGUAGCUUAGCAUUGAAUUUCGGUAUUGUCUGUACAGGAUAGGUGGGAGACUAGGAAACCAGAGCGUCAGCUUUGGCGGAGUCACCCUUGGGAUACCACCCUGAUAGUACUGAGGUUCUAACUGGAUGCCAUGAAUCUGGUGACAGGACAUUGUUAGGUGGGCAGUUUGACUGGGGCGGUCGCCUCCGAAAGUGUAACGGAGGCGCCCAAAGGUUCCCUCAGAACGGUCGGAAAUCGUUCGAAGAGUGCAAAGGCAGAAGGGAGCCUGACUGCGACACCCACAAGUGGAGCAGGGACGAAAGUCGGGCUUAGUGAUCCGGUGGUACCUCGUGGGAGGGCCAUCGCUCAACGGAUAAAAGCUACCUCGGGGAUAACAGGCUGAUCUCCCCCAAGAGUCCACAUCGACGGGGAGGUUUGGCACCUCGAUGUCGGCUCGUCGCAUCCUGGGGCUGAAGUAGGUCCCAAGGGUUGGGCUGUUCGCCCAUUAAAGCGGCACGCGAGCUGGGUUCAGAACGUCGUGAGACAGUUCGGUCCCUAUCCGUCGCGGGCGUAGGAAAUUUGAGAGGAGCUGUCCUUAGUACGAGAGGACCGGGAUGGACUGACCUCUGGUGCACCAGUUGUUCCGCCAGGAGCACAGCUGGGUAGCUAAGUCGGGAAGGGAUAAACGCUGAAAGCAUCUAAGCGUGAAGCCCACCUCAAGAUAAGAUUUCCCAUAGCGUAAGCUAGUAAGACCCCUUGAAGGACACAAGGUUGAUAGGUCAGAGGUGUAAGUGUGGUAACAUAUUUAGCUGACUGAUACUAAUAGGUCGAGGGCUUGACC
This 1610-nucleotide ribosomal RNA is filed under the name metagenome. RNAcentral describes it as "bacterial LSU rRNA". It matches the Rfam family "Bacterial large subunit ribosomal RNA", at positions 1302 to 2925 of the family's 2925-position model. The record is from RNAcentral.